UACGUAGGGUCCGAGCGUUGUCCGGAAUUACUGGGCGUAAAGAGCUCGUAGGCGGUUUGUCGCGUCGAAUGUGAAAACCCGGGGCUCAACCCCGGGCCUGCAUUCGAUACGGGCAGACUAGAGUUCGGUAGGGGGAGUCUGGAAUUCCUGGUGUAGCGGUGAAAUGCGCAGAUAUCAGGAGGAACACCAACGGCGAAGGCAGCUCUCUGGGACGUUACUGACGCUGAGACGCGAAAGCGUGGGGAGCAAACAGG
RNAcentral lists this ribosomal RNA (254 nucleotides) under uncultured bacterium. RNAcentral describes it as "partial 16S ribosomal RNA". It matches the Rfam family "Bacterial small subunit ribosomal RNA", at positions 524 to 776 of the family's 1533-position model. The record is from RNAcentral.